GGUUGUCACUUUAAAACCAGCCUCUAUCCUAUUUAGCCAAAGAAUGAUAAUCCCUUAGAAGCCAGCACAUCAAAAUUGAGCUGCAAGAGGCAUUAUACUAAAAGAGCAAGGCUGGUUCUACACAGGGCAAGCAAAACAGCCUGGCUGAAUAUUGGGCGUGCUUACUAGGAGCAGCAAGACAAAAGGAAGCUGUGGCUUUUAGGAAUUGUUGCCAGUGUGACUUUAUAUAUCAGCGGAGAAGGAACACAAAUAAUGUCUAGAGGGUCAGGACAAGUCAGUAUUAAACAGAU
Molecule: long non-coding RNA, 290 nt
Filed under: Sus scrofa (pig)
Lineage: Eukaryota; Metazoa; Chordata; Mammalia; Artiodactyla; Suidae
Description: lncRNA (ENSSSCG00025032341.1, ENSSSCG00070028531.1)
Source: RNAcentral